This 657-nucleotide ribosomal RNA is filed under the name uncultured bacterium. Its description in RNAcentral is "bacterial SSU rRNA". It matches the Rfam family "Bacterial small subunit ribosomal RNA", at positions 79 to 732 of the family's 1533-position model. The record is from RNAcentral.
CUUGCUUCUCUUGAGAGCGGCGGACGGGUGAGUAAUGCCUAGGAAUCUGCCUGGUAGUGGGGGAUAACGUCCGGAAACGGACGCUAAUACCGCAUACGUCCUACGGGAGAAAGCAGGGGACCUUCGGGCCUUGCGCUAUCAGAUGAGCCUAGGUCGGAUUAGCUAGUUGGUGGGGUAAUGGCUCACCAAGGCGACGAUCCGUAACUGGUCUGAGAGGAUGAUCAGUCACACUGGAACUGAGACACGGUCCAGACUCCUACGGGAGGCAGCAGUGGGGAAUAUUGGACAAUGGGCGAAAGCCUGAUCCAGCCAUGCCGCGUGUGUGAAGAAGGUCUUCGGAUUGUAAAGCACUUUAAGUUGGGAGGAAGGGCAGUAAAUUAAUACUUUGCUGUUUUGACGUUACCGACAGAAUAAGCACCGGCUAACUCUGUGCCAGCAGCCGCGGUAAUACAGAGGGUGCAAGCGUUAAUCGGAAUUACUGGGCGUAAAGCGCGCGUAGGUGGUUCGUUAAGUUGGAUGUGAAAUCCCCGGGCUCAACCUGGGAACUGCAUUCAAAACUGACGAGCUAGAGUAUGGUAGAGGGUGGUGGAAUUUCCUGUGUAGCGGUGAAAUGCGUAGAUAUAGGAAGGAACACCAGUGGCGAAGGCGACCACCUGG